UACGAAGGGUGCAAGCGUUACUCGGAAUUAUUGGGCGUAAAGCGUGCGUAGGUGGUUUGUUAAGUCUGAUGUGAAAGCCCUGGGCUCAACCCGGAAACUGCAUUGCGAACUGACCUAGCUGGAGUGCAGGAGAGGGCAGCGGAAUUCCCGGUGUAGCGGUGAAAUGCGUAGAUAUCGGGAAGAACACCAGUGGCGAAGGCGGCUGCCUGGCCUGUAACUGACGCUGAGACGCGAAAGCGUGGGGAGCGAACCGG
RNAcentral lists this ribosomal RNA (254 nucleotides) under uncultured bacterium. Its description in RNAcentral is "partial 16S ribosomal RNA". It matches the Rfam family "Bacterial small subunit ribosomal RNA", at positions 524 to 776 of the family's 1533-position model. The record is from RNAcentral.